AAGUCUGAUGGAGCACGCCGCGUGAGUGAAGAAGGGUUUCGGCUCGUAAAACUCUGUUGUUAAAGAAGAACAUAUCUGAGAGUAACUGUUCAGGUAUUGACGGUAUUUAACCAGAAAGCCACGGCUAACUACGUGCCAGCAGCCGCGGUAAUAC
Molecule: ribosomal RNA, 154 nt
Filed under: uncultured bacterium
Lineage: Bacteria
Description: partial 16S ribosomal RNA
Rfam family: Bacterial small subunit ribosomal RNA
Source: RNAcentral